Molecule: ribosomal RNA, 255 nt
Filed under: uncultured bacterium
Lineage: Bacteria
Description: partial 16S ribosomal RNA
Rfam family: Bacterial small subunit ribosomal RNA
Source: RNAcentral
GCAAGUCGAACGAGAACGGGCUUUAGUUUACUAAAGUUGUCAGCUAAGUGGCGCACGGGUGAGUAAUAUAUAGUUAACCUGCCUCAAAGAAGGGAAUAAUUGUUGGAAACGACUUGUAAUGCCCUAUAUGCCUUUAAUACAUAAGUAUGCAAGGGAAAUAUUUAUAGCUUUGAGAUGGGACUGUACGGUAUCAGAUAGUUGGUGAGGUAAUGGCUCACCAAGUCUAUGACGCCUAACUGGUUUGAGAGGAUGAUC